This 435-nucleotide ribosomal RNA is filed under the name uncultured bacterium. RNAcentral's name for it is "bacterial SSU rRNA". It matches the Rfam family "Bacterial small subunit ribosomal RNA", at positions 355 to 786 of the family's 1533-position model. The record is from RNAcentral.
UGAGGAAUAUUGGUCAAUGGGCGGGAGCCUGAACCAGCCAAGCCGCGUGAGGGAGGAAGGCCCUAUGGGUCGUAAACCUCUUUUGUCAGGGAACAAAAGCGAGUAUGUAUACUAGUCUGAGUGUACCUGAAGAAAAAGCAUCGGCUAACUCCGUGCCAGCAGCCGCGGUAAUACGGAGGAUGCGAGCGUUAUCCAGGAUUUAUUGGGGUUUAAAGGGGUGCGUAGGCGGCGGUGCAAGUCAGCGGUAAAAGCCCGGGGCUCAACCCCGGCGAGCCGUUGAAACUGCAGUGCUAGAGAAGCGAGAGGUACGCGGAAUGCGCAGUGUAGCGGUGAAAUGCUUAGAUAUUGCGCAGAACUCCGAUUGCGAAGGCAGCGUACUGGCGCCUGACUGACGCUGAGGCACGAAAGCGUGGGGAUCGAACAGGAUUAGAUACC